Molecule: long non-coding RNA, 211 nt
Filed under: Elaeis guineensis (African oil palm)
Lineage: Eukaryota; Viridiplantae; Streptophyta; Magnoliopsida; Arecales; Arecaceae
Description: long non-coding RNA (EGUI_LNC043339)
Source: RNAcentral
ACCAUUGUGACAACAUUAACUUUUAAUAUAAAGUCAUGAUUUAUUAUAUUUGUUAGUGCAGAAUUUUGCCGAUGUCGAAGAAGCUGGAGUCGAGGAGAUCGCGUCUGCCGUCGGGACCUACAAGGAAAGUCUAAACUGGAGUUGGGGGUGCUCCGGCAAGACCCUCCGAUGCUCAAGUCAGUACUUUGCCUCAACAGAAAUGGAGCACUCG